RNAcentral lists this ribosomal RNA (497 nucleotides) under uncultured bacterium. Its description in RNAcentral is "partial 16S ribosomal RNA". It matches the Rfam family "Bacterial small subunit ribosomal RNA", at positions 28 to 507 of the family's 1533-position model. The record is from RNAcentral.
GAUGAACGCUGGCGGCGUGCCUAAUACAUGCAAGUCGAGCGAACAGACGAGGAGCUUGCUCCUUUGACGUUAGCGGCGGACGGGUGAGUAACACGUGGAUAACCUACCUAUAAGACUGGGAUAACUUCGGGAAACCGGAGCUAAUACCGGAUAACAUGUUGAACCGCAUGGUUCAACAGUGAAAGACGGUCUUGCUGUCACUUAUAGAUGGAUCCGCGCCGCAUUAGCUAGUUGGUAAGGUAACGGCUUACCAAGGCAACGAUGCGUAGCCGACCUGAGAGGGUGAUCGGCCACACUGGAACUGAGACACGGUCCAGACUCCUACGGGAGGCAGCAGUAGGGAAUCUUCCGCAAUGGGCGGAAGCCUGACGGAGCAACGCCGCGUGAGUGAAGGAGGUCUUCGGAUCGUAAAACUCUGUUAUUAGGGAAGAACAAAUGUGUAAGUAACUAUGCACGUCUUGACGGUACCUAAUCAAAAAGCCACGGCUAACUACGUG